UUAAAUUGAAGAGUUUGAUCAUGGCUCAGAUUGAACGCUGGCGGCAGGCCUAACACAUGCAAGUCGAACGGUAACAGGAAGCAGCUUGCUGCUUCGCUGACGAGUGGCGGACGGGUGAGUAAUGUCUGGGAAACUGCCUGAUGGAGGGGGAUAACUACUGGAAACGGUGGCUAAUACCGCAUAACGUCGCAAGACCAAAGAGGGGGACCUUCGGGCCUCUUGCCAUCAGAUGUGCCCAGAUGGGAUUAGCUUGUUGGUGAGGUAACGGCUCACCAAGGCGACGAUCCCUAGCUGGUCUGAGAGGAUGACCAGCCACACUGGAACUGAGACACGGUCCAGACUCCUACGGGAGGCAGCAGUGGGGAAUAUUGCACAAUGGGCGCAAGCCUGAUGCAGCCAUGCCGCGUGUAUGAAGAAGGCCUUCGGGUUGUAAAGUACUUUCAGCGGGGAGGAAGGUGUUGUGGUUAAUAACCACAGCAAUUGACGUUACCCGCAGAAGAAGCACCGGCUAACUCCGUGCCAGCAGCCGCGGUAAUACGGAGGGUGCAAGCGUUAAUCGGAAUUACUGGGCGUAAAGCGCACGCAGGCGGUCUGUCAAGUCGGAUGUGAAAUCCCCGGGCUCAACCUGGGAACUGCAUUCGAAACUGGCAGGCUUGAGUCUUGUAGAGGGGGGUAGAAUUCCAGGUGUAGCGGUGAAAUGCGUAGAGAUCUGGAGGAAUACCGGUGGCGAAGGCGGCCCCCUGGACAAAGACUGACGCUCAGGUGCGAAAGCGUGGGGAGCAAACAGGAUUAGAUACCCUGGUAGUCCACGCCGUAAACGAUGUCUACUUGGAGGUUGUGCCCUUGAGGCGUGGCUUCCGGAGCUAACGCGUUAAGUAGACCGCCUGGGGAGUACGGCCGCAAGGUUAAAACUCAAAUGAAUUGACGGGGGCCCGCACAAGCGGUGGAGCAUGUGGUUUAAUUCGAUGCAACGCGAAGAACCUUACCUGGUCUUGACAUCCACAGAACUUUCCAGAGAUGGACUGGUGCCUUCGGGAACUGUGAGACAGGUGCUGCAUGGCUGUCGUCAGCUCGUGUUGUGAAAUGUUGGGUUAAGUCCCGCAACGAGCGCAACCCUUAUCCUUUGUUGCCAGCGAUUAGGUCGGGAACUCAAAGGAGACUGCCAGUGAUAAACUGGAGGAAGGUGGGGAUGACGUCAAGUCAUCAUGGCCCUUACGACCAGGGCUACACACGUGCUACAAUGGCGCAUACAAAGAGAAGCGACCUCGCGAGAGCAAGCGGACCUCAUAAAGUGCGUCGUAGUCCGGAUUGGAGUCUGCAACUCGACUCCAUGAAGUCGGAAUCGCUAGUAAUCGUGGAUCAGAAUGCCACGGUGAAUACGUUCCCGGGCCUUGUACACACCGCCCGUCACACCAUGGGAGUGGGUUGCAAAAGAAGUAGGUAGCUUAACCUUCGGGAGGGCGCUUACCACUUUGUGAUUCAUGACUGGGGUGAAGUCGUAACAAGGUAACCGUAGGGGAACCUGCGGUUGGAUCACCUCCUUACCUUAAAGAA
RNAcentral lists this ribosomal RNA (1554 nucleotides) under Salmonella enterica subsp. enterica serovar Hvittingfoss str. SA20014981. RNAcentral describes it as "bacterial SSU rRNA". It matches the Rfam family "Bacterial small subunit ribosomal RNA". The record is from RNAcentral. Lineage: Bacteria; Pseudomonadati; Pseudomonadota; Gammaproteobacteria; Enterobacterales; Enterobacteriaceae.